RNAcentral lists this ribosomal RNA (2736 nucleotides) under Aliidongia dinghuensis. Its description in RNAcentral is "23S ribosomal RNA". It matches the Rfam family "Bacterial large subunit ribosomal RNA". Lineage: Bacteria; Pseudomonadati; Pseudomonadota; Alphaproteobacteria; Rhodospirillales; Dongiaceae. The record is from RNAcentral.
UUUUAAGGGCAUCUGGUGGAUGCCUUGGCACUGAGAGGCGAUGAAGGACGUAGCACGCUGCGAUAAGCCACGGGGAGAGGCGAGCACUCUUUGAUCCGUGGAUCUCCGAAUGGGGAAACCCCGCCCUUCAUGGGUGAUCGUCAACUGAAUUCAUAGGUUGGCGAGGCGAACCCGGCGAACUGAAACAUCUCAGUAGCCGGAGGAAAGGACAUCAACAGAGACUCCGCUAGUAGUGGCGAGCGAACGCGGACCAGGCCAGUGGUAGGUCGUCGAUUAGCAGAACAACCUGGAAAGGUUGGCCAGAGUGGGUGACAGCCCCGUAUGCGACAUGACGCGAUCUGCCCUCGAGUAAGGCGGGACACGUGUAAUCCUGUCUGAACGUGGGGGGACCACCCUCCAAGCCUAAGUACUCCUCAGUGACCGAUAGUGCACUAGUACCGUGAGGGAAAGGUGAAAAGCACCCCAAUGAGGGGAGUGAAACAGUUCCUGAAACCGGAUGCCUACAAGCAGUCGGAGCGCCUUCGUGGCGUGACGGCGUACCUCUUGUAUAAUGGGUCAGCGAGUUAGUCUCGGCAGCAAGCUUAAGCCGGUAGGUGUAGGCGUAGCGAAAGCGAGUCUUAAUAGGGCGAAUAAGUUGCCGGGAUUAGACCCGAAACCGGGUGAUCUAGCCAUGGGCAGGUUGAAGGUGCGGUAACACGCACUGGAGGACCGAACCCACGUCUGUUGAAAAAGACGGGGAUGACCUGUGGCUAGGGGUGAAAGGCCAAUCAAACUCGGAAAUAGCUGGUUCUCCGCGAAAUCUAUUGAGGUAGAGCGUCGGAUGUUUACGACCGGGGGUAGAGCACUGGAUGGGCUAGGGGGAAGCAAUUCUUACCAAACCUAACCAAACUCCGAAUACCGGUCAGUAUAGUCCGGCAGACAGACGGCGGGUGCUAAGGUCCGUCGUCGAGAGGGAAACAGCCCAGACCGACAUCUAAGGUCCCCAAGUCAUGGCUAAGUGGGAAAGGAUGUGGGAAGGCCAAGACAACCAGGAGGUUGGCUUAGAAGCAGCCAUCCUUUAAAGAAAGCGUAAUAGCUCACUGGUCUAGUUAAGCCGUCCUGCGCCGAAAAUGUAACGGGGCUCAAGCCAUGCACCGAAGAUUCGGGUGUGCCGCAAGGCACGCGGUAGCGGAGCGUUCCGUAAGCCGGUGAAGGUGAACCGUAAGGUUUGCUGGAGGUAUCGGAAGUGAGAAUGCUGACAUAAGUAGCGACAAACAGAGUGAGAAACUCUGUCGCCGAAAGUCCAAGGGUUCCUGCGCAAGGUUAAUCCACGCAGGGUGAGCCGGCCCCUAAGGCGAGGCCGAAAGGCGUAGUCGAUGGGAAUGAGGUUAAUAUUCCUCAGCCUGGCGGGUGUGACGAAGGACGGAAGCUGUCUGCCCUUAUUGGAUUGGGUGGGCAGCCUAGUACUUCCAGGAAAUAGCCCCGCCUUAUAGACCGUACCCCAAACCGACACAGGUGGACUGGUAGAGUAUACCAAGGCGCUUGAGAGAAUGGUGUUGAAGGAACUCGGCAAAUUACCCUCGUAACUUCGGGAUAAGAGGGCCCCGUUUUGGCGCAAGCCAGGGCGGGGGGCACAGACCAGGGGGUGGCGACUGUUUACUAAAAACACAGGGCUCUGCGAAGUCGACAAGACGACGUAUAGGGUCUGACGCCUGCCCGGUGCCGGAAGGUUAAAAGGAGGGGUGCAAGCUCUGAAUUGAAGCCCCGGUAAACGGCGGCCGUAACUAUAACGGUCCUAAGGUAGCGAAAUUCCUUGUCGGGUAAGUUCCGACCUGCACGAAUGGCGUAACGACUUCCCCGCUGUCUCCAACACCAACUCAGCGAAAUUGAAUUCUCCGUGAAGAUGCGGAGUACCCGCGGUUAGACGGAAAGACCCCGUGCACCUUUACUACAGCUUUGCAGUGGUAUUAGGGAUUGCGUGUGUAGGAUAGGCGGGAGCCUUUGAAGCAUGGUCGCCAGAUCGUGUGGAGGCACCCUUGAAAUACCGCCCUCUCGAUCUCUGAUAUCUAACUCGAUCCCGUGAACCCGGGAUGAGGACCCUGCAUGGCGGGUAGUUUGACUGGGGCGGUCGCCUCCCAAAGAGUAACGGAGGCGCGCGAUGGUGGGCUCAAGCUGGUCGGAAAUCAGCUGUUGAGUGCAAUGGCAUAAGCCCGCCUGACUGCGAGAGCGACAGUUCGAGCAGAGACGAAAGUCGGCCAUAGUGAUCCGGUGGUCCCGCGUGGAAGGGCCAUCGCUCAACGGAUAAAAGGUACGCCGGGGAUAACAGGCUGAUGACUCCCAAGAGUCCAUAUCGACGGAGUCGUUUGGCACCUCGAUGUCGGCUCAUCACAUCCUGGGGCUGGAGCAGGUCCCAAGGGUAUGGCUGUUCGCCAUUUAAAGUGGUACGUGAGCUGGGUUUAGAACGUCGUGAGACAGUUCGGUCCCUAUCUGCCGUGGGUGUUCGAGACUUGAGAGGAUCUGUCCCUAGUACGAGAGGACCGGGAUGGACGUACCUCUGGUGUACCGGUUGUGGCGCCAGCCGCAUCGCCGGGUAGCUAAGUACGGCCGGGAUAACCGCUGAAAGCAUCUAAGCGGGAAACCCCCCUCAAAACCAGGUCUCGCUCGAGAGCCGUGAUAGACCAUCACGUCGAUAGGCCAGGUGUGAAAGCGCGGUAACGCGUGCAGCUAACUGGUACUAAUCGCUCGAUCGGCUUCAUU